Molecule: ribosomal RNA, 427 nt
Filed under: uncultured Nitrosomonadaceae bacterium
Lineage: Bacteria; Pseudomonadati; Pseudomonadota; Betaproteobacteria; Nitrosomonadales; Nitrosomonadaceae
Description: bacterial SSU rRNA
Rfam family: Bacterial small subunit ribosomal RNA
Source: RNAcentral
AGUGGGGAAUUUUGGACAAUGGGGGAAACCCUGAUCCAGCCAUGCCGCGUGUGUGAAGAAGGCCUUCGGGUUGUAAAGCACUUUCGGACGGAACGAAAUCGCAAGGGUGAAUAUCCCUUGUGGAUGACGGUACCGUAAGAAGAAGCACCGGCUAACUACGUGCCAGCAGCCGCGGUAAUACGUAGGGUGCGAGCGUUAAUCGGAAUUACUGGGCGUAAAGCGUGCGCAGGCGGCUUCGCAAGUCAGACGUGAAAUCCCCGGGCUUAACCUGGGAAUGGCGUUUGAAACUACGGAGCUAGAGUGUGGCAGAGGGAGGUAGAAUUCCACGUGUAGCAGUGAAAUGCGUAGAUAUGUGGAGGAAUACCGAUGGCGAAGGCAGCCUCCUGGGCCAACACUGACGCUCAUGCACGAAAGCGUGGGGAGCAAA